Molecule: long non-coding RNA, 396 nt
Filed under: Mustela putorius furo (domestic ferret)
Lineage: Eukaryota; Metazoa; Chordata; Mammalia; Carnivora; Mustelidae
Description: lncRNA (ENSMPUG00000024607.1)
Source: RNAcentral
CAGGGGCCACUCACUGAUGAAAAGGUACAACUAAUGCUGUUGUUGGAGUCAGCCUGAGAUCAGAAUUCACACAGGUCCGAAGAAGGACACUCACUUUAUUGCCCCUCUACCUUGCAGUUCCUCACAAGGUUCUCCAGCGCUCUGGGCACAUGUGCUGUAUGACAUAAUGGAUUUGGUCAGGAUGAGCCUUUCUGGACCUUCACAUGUCCUUGGAGCCUGAUUUCUGCAGUUUUACUCCUUCCUGCUUUCCAACAACUCCUGCCCAGAAGGACUAAAGAUGCUCAGUACAAACCAUAUGUAUGAUUCACUACAGCUACUGGGAAAUUUUAAAUUGACAUGUGGCUCAUGUUAUAUCUCCAUUCGACAGAACUGAAAUAGAUACUAUGGACCCAAGCC